RNAcentral lists this long non-coding RNA (2742 nucleotides) under Mus musculus (house mouse). RNAcentral describes it as "long non-coding RNA chr6:63637713-63640455". Lineage: Eukaryota; Metazoa; Chordata; Mammalia; Rodentia; Muridae. The record is from RNAcentral.
UUGCCUUAUUGAGAGGCAGCAUCCACUGCCAUUCAGAUUGCCUGAGUCACUGCAGCUUUACCUUGUUGACUGACUUAGAUCCCUGCUGAGUUAGACCUGGAAGAUGACUGACUUCCUCAUUAGUCUCACACCAAGGGAAAGGGAAAACCUGUGAUCUCUCAGAAGUCUGUACUCUCAGUUUAUUUAUUCUGUCGCUCUUAAUUGUGAAUGUCCACUGUGUGGAAUAAAACUAUGAUUAGUGAGGUGCCUUCUAGUACAAUUUGGUAUAGAGUAAACCUAUUUCUACACAUUUCUGAAUCUUUCUAAUAUCAAAACAAUGAAUAUUUAAUUACAGAUAUUUAACUGUAGAUUACUUGAAAUACCCUCCUGGGGUCAGGUGGAUGCAAAAAAAAAUAUUUGGGGGGAUUUAAACCUAUUUUAACUGAUUAGAUUUUGUUCUAGAGGAUACACCUAUGUUUGGAAAUUAUGGAAGAAAAACACCAUUGUAUGUUUUCAAUUUGUUAAACUUUAUUUACAGACUCCUUUUUCUUUCCUUUGGUAUUGGAUGUUUUCUUUAUUUACAUUUCAAAUAUUAUCCCCUUUCCAGGUUUCCCCCUUGCCCUGCUCUCAGAAACCUUCUAUCCCAUCCUCUCCCUCCUCCUGCUUUUACGAGGGUGUUCCUCCACCUACCCACCCAAAUCGACCUCACUGCCCUCAAUUCCUCUAUACUGGGGCAUUUAUCUAGGACAUUUAUCGGACCCUCAUAGGACCAAUGACCUCUCCUUCUAUUGACGCGUGACAAGGCCAUCCUCUGCUACAUGUGCAGCUGGAGCCAUGUGUACUCCUUGGUGGAUGGCUUAGUCCCUGGGAGCUCUGGGGGGUCUGGUAGGUUAAUAUUGUUGUUCUUCAUAUGUGGUUGUAAACCCCUUCAACUCCUUCAGACCAUUCUCUAACUCCUCUAUUAGGAACCCUGUGCUCAGUCCAUUGGCUGGUGGCUAGCAUCUGCCUCUGUAUUUAUAAGGCUCUGGUAGUGCCUUUCAGAAGACAGUCAUAUUAGGUUCCUUUCAGCAUGCACUUCUUGGCAUCCACAAUAGUGUCUGGGUUUGGUAACUGUAUAUGGGAUGAAUCUCCAGGUAGGACUCUUUACUUAUAAUGCAAUAACUUGAUCAGAAGUAUAGUCAUAUAUAAUGAAAGUAAGACCUCUACAGCAGAAUAAACUUUUGGUAAAAUUUAGCAUGUGAAGAUAAUCUACUUGCUGGUGAUAUGUAAAUUUUACUAUGAAAGACUUUUUGCCUUCUUUAAAAAAAUCAAGAUUUAUAUCUAACAUUGGGUAAAUUGCUAAUAAGGAAAAUUUAUCAUAUAUAUUUUGUUCAUGGUGUAAAAGAAUAGACAUCAUGUAUUCCAAGUCUUCAAAAUUUAAAUGAGAAGUACCGGAAGCCUCAUUACUUUAACUUUGCUAAAUGUACCUGCCAUAAAACAGCGUAACUAUACAAUUGACAUUUUGCAUUUCUAAGACCACUAAGUAAUUAUAUAUUUCUUUUUCAGAAAUACUGCUAACCACAUCGUCAUGUUUGAUUUACGCAUAGAAUACCGCAAAAAUUUAUUUAAUAAAACAUUAUUUCCUGCUCUACAUACUUGUUAAGAUUAAGAUAUCCAGACAAUACAAUAAAGUAAUAUAGCAAUAACAGAUAUACUAAUAUACCUGCAAUACUCUAUUGCAAUGUGUCAGUGGUAGAAGGACUCCAUUUAAAGACAAAAUGAACCUUUAAGUUACCUUGGAAGAGUCCAGGCAAAGCAGAAGGUGACAGUCACCUGCAAGGCCUCUCUUUCAUCUCUCACCAAAUGGUGAGAAGAGAUUGUUCACAGGGCAAGGUUAGAGCUGGUUAGGAAUGAUUCACUGGCUGAGGAGAGAAAAUAAUGCAAGAGAGUAGAAUGGAAAGAUUAAUAGGCAGAGAAGCCAUUGCACAUGGUCAGGGGUGUAAGACUAGUUCUCAUGGCUCCUUCUAAGACAUGUUAAAUCUCUUAAAAAUUUCAGCAGUCUGCCUUUCUUUAACCUCUACUGAACAGAGCUUAUUUUAAAGAACUGGGGUAUCACUGAAAAUGAUUUUGAGUAAUGAUGGUGAAGAAUGGAAUUAGCAAAUAUAUUACACAGAGAUUACAAUUUUCGUUUCAUAAUUUAUUUAAAGAUCUGUGUUUGUCUGUCUAGAGAUUCCUUUUGGAAAUUACCAGUAAUUGCGUUUUCAAGCCGGUCCUUAAUAAUCAGAGAACAAUGGUCAUUUUGUGUUUAUUAUAGCCAUUGUUUAAGUUGAGCUUGUAGGAAGAAGAAUUUUGUCUUUAAAAACACAGAAGUGCUUUUGUGCAAUGAUUCCCAAAUAAGCAUUUUUCAUAAUAUUCAUUGAUUUUUAGUCACUGUAAUACAGUCAGGGUAGCAUGUAUAAGCUUCUUUAGAUACUGGCAAUACUUAGACUACUCUCUAAAUGGCCCUUUCUUUUCUGAGUGAUUGGGAGCCAGAGUUUGAGAAUGUGUGUAUGGUCUAAUUUUUUUUACAGAGUAUGUAAUUCAGAGUGUUACUCUUGCUGUUCCAAAUCUGCCACUUAUCUAUGUCUCUAUAAGAUGUAUUUGCUAACACAAUUGUAAACUGAUUUAUUUAUUCUUCUCUCAUAUAUUAUGUCGGGGCUGAAGUUUCUCUCUCGCGCGACUAAAUUCCAAAUUCCAAAUUCCUUCCGUCUCCCCAGACUCCCCAGAUCUACUUCUCAGUUUUCC